RNAcentral lists this transfer RNA (71 nucleotides) under Burkholderia cepacia. RNAcentral's name for it is "tRNA-Und (NNN) (tRNA-Und-NNN-1-1)". RNAcentral also lists the same sequence under 1 other name. The record is from RNAcentral. Lineage: Bacteria; Pseudomonadati; Pseudomonadota; Betaproteobacteria; Burkholderiales; Burkholderiaceae.
AAAUUUGUUACGAAACGCAAGCGGGACUCUUAAUCCGUAGGUCGAGUGUUCGAGUCACUCACGCCCCACCA